CCUACGGGAGGCAGCAGUGGGGAAUAUUGCACAAUGGGGGAAACCCUGAUGCAGCGACGCCGCGUGAGUGAAGAAGCGUUUCGGCGCGUAAAGCUCUGUCAGCGGGGAAGAAACACGGUUCGCGAGAGCCGCGGACGGUACCCGACCAAGAAGCCCCGGCUCACUACGGGCCAGAAGCCGCGGUAAUACGCAGGGGGCAAGCGUUUUCCGGAUUCACUGGGUGUAAAGGGAGCGUAGACGGCGAGACAAGGCUGGAGUGAAAGGCCGGGGGCCAACCCCGGGACUGCUGUGGAAACUGGCUGGCUGGAGUACAGGAGAGGUAAGUGGAAUUCGGAGUGUAGCGGUGAAAUGCGUAGAUAUUAGGAGGAACUCCAGUGGCGAAGGCGGCUUACUGGACGGUAACUGACGUUGAGGCUCGAAAGCGUGGGGAGCAAACAGGAUUAGAUACCCUGGUAGUC
RNAcentral lists this ribosomal RNA (458 nucleotides) under uncultured bacterium. RNAcentral's name for it is "partial 16S ribosomal RNA". It matches the Rfam family "Bacterial small subunit ribosomal RNA", at positions 338 to 795 of the family's 1533-position model. The record is from RNAcentral.